CCUACGGGAGGCAGCAGUGGGGAAUAUUGGGCAAUGGGCGAAAGCCUGACCCAGCGACGCCGCGUGAGGGACGAAGGCCUUCGGGUUGUAAACCUCUUUCAGCAGGGAAGAAGCGAAAGUGACGGUACCUGCAGAAGAAGCACCGGCUAACUACGUGCCAGCAGCCGCGGUAAUACGUAGGGUGCAAGCGUUGUCCGGAAUUAUUGGGCGUAAAGAGCUCGUAGGUGGUUUGCCACGUCGGAUGUGAAAACCUGAGGCUUAACCUCAGGCCUGCAUUCGAUACGGGCAGACUAGAGUGUGGUAGGGGAGACUGGAAUUCCUGGUGUAGCGGUGAAAUGCGCAGAUAUCAGGAGGAACACCGGUGGCGAAGGCGGGUCUCUGGGCCAUAACUGACACUGAGGAGCGAAAGCGUGGGGAGCAAACAGGAUUAGAUACCCUGGUAGUCCACGCCGUAAACGGUGGGCACUAGAUGUGGGGACCUUCCACGGUCUCUGCGUCGCAGCUAACGCAUUAAGUGCCCGCCUGGGGAGUACGGCCGCAAGGCUAAACUUAAAUGAAUUGACGGCUUGNGAGUUGCGAGCGCGACGAGGGAGAG
This 595-nucleotide ribosomal RNA is filed under the name uncultured bacterium. RNAcentral describes it as "bacterial SSU rRNA". It matches the Rfam family "Bacterial small subunit ribosomal RNA", at positions 338 to 942 of the family's 1533-position model. The record is from RNAcentral.